RNAcentral lists this unclassified non-coding RNA (200 nucleotides) under soil metagenome. Its description in RNAcentral is "partial contains internal transcribed spacer 2 and large subunit ribosomal RNA". The record is from RNAcentral.
UUUUCGAAGCCGCUGAUGGACUUGGAGUUGGGCGUCUGCCGGUCACACGGCUCGCCUUAAAGACGUUAGUGGGAAAGGUAGCCCAUGGCUUGACGUAAUAAGUUUCGUCAGACCUGGCCGCCUACGCCUGCUCACAACCCGCCCUCGGGCAAUUCUUUAUGCUAGACCUCAAAUCAGGUAGGACUACCCGCUGAACUUAA